Molecule: ribosomal RNA, 253 nt
Filed under: uncultured bacterium
Lineage: Bacteria
Description: partial 16S ribosomal RNA
Rfam family: Bacterial small subunit ribosomal RNA
Source: RNAcentral
UGCGUAGGGUGCAAGCGUUGUCCGGAAUUAUUGGGCGUAAAGAGCUCGUAGGCGGUUUGUCGCGUCUGCUGUGAAAACUCGGGGCUCAACUCCGAGCUUGCAGUGGGUACGGGCAGACUAGAGUGCGGUAGGGGAGACUGGAAUUCCUGGUGUAGCGGUGGAAUGCGCAGAUAUCGGGAGGAACACCUGAGGCGAAGGCGGGCUACUGGGCCGAUACUGACGCUGAUGCGCGAAAGCCAGGGGAGCGAACGGG